CAGUCGCCACGGGAAUACGAGGGGGGCAAGCGUUGUUCGGAAUUAUUGGGCGUAAAGGGUGCGUAGGCGGUUUGACAAGUCUUAUGUGAAAUCUCUGGGCUCAACCCAGAGUCUGCAUGGGAAACUGUCGGGCUUGAGUAUGGGAGAGGUGAGUGGAAUUUCCGGUGUAGCGGUGAAAUGCGUAGAUAUCGGAAGGAACACCUGUGGCGAAAGCGGCUCACUGGACCAUAACUGACGCUGAGGCACGAAAGCUAGGGGAGCAAACAGGAUUAGAUACCCGCGUAGUCCCUGUCUCUUAUAC
This 301-nucleotide ribosomal RNA is filed under the name uncultured bacterium. RNAcentral describes it as "partial 16S ribosomal RNA". It matches the Rfam family "Bacterial small subunit ribosomal RNA", at positions 509 to 807 of the family's 1533-position model. The record is from RNAcentral.